Molecule: ribosomal RNA, 1366 nt
Filed under: uncultured organism
Description: SSU rRNA
Rfam family: Bacterial small subunit ribosomal RNA
Source: RNAcentral
UUCAGGAUGAACGCUAGCUACAGGCUUAACACAUGCAAGUCGAGGGGCAGCAUCAUCAAAGCUUGCUUUGAUGGAUGGCGACCGGCGCACGGGUGAGUAACACGUAUCCAACCUGCCGACAACACUGGGAUAGCCUUUCGAAAGAAAGAUUAAUACCGGAUGGCAUAGUUUUCCCGCAUGGGAUAAUUAUUAAAGAAUUUCGGUUGUCGAUGGGGAUGCGUUCCAUUAGGCAGUUGGCGGGGUAACGGCCCACCAAACCAACGAUGGAUAGGGGUUCUGAGAGGAAGGUCCCCCACAUUGGAACUGAGACACGGUCCAAACUCCUACGGGAGGCAGCAGUGAGGAAUAUUGGUCAAUGGACGAGAGUCUGAACCAGCCAAGUAGCGUGAAGGAUGACUGCCCUAUGGGUUGUAAACUUCUUUUAUACGGGAAUAAAGUGAGCCACGUGUGGCUUUUUGUAUGUACCGUAUGAAUAAGGAUCGGCUAACUCCGUGCCAGCAGCCGCGGUAAUACGGAGGAUCCGAGCGUUAUCCGGAUUUAUUGGGUUUAAAGGGAGCGUAGGCGGGUUGUUAAGUCAGUUGUGAAAGUUUGCGGCUCAACCGUAAAAUUGCAGUUGAUACUGGGAGUCUUGAGUACAGUAGAGGUGGGCGGAAUUCGUGGUGUAGCGGUGAAAUGCUUAGAUAUCACGAAGAACUCCGAUUGCGAAGGCAGCUCACUAGACUGUCACUGACACUGAUGCUCGAAAGUGUGGGUAUCAAACAGGAUUAGAUACCCUGGUAGUCCACACAGUAAACGAUGAAUACUCGCUGUUUGCGAUAUACAGUAAGCGGCCAAGCGAAAGCAUUAAGUAUUCCACCUGGGGAGUACGCCGGCAACGGUGAAACUCAAAGGAAUUGACGGGGGCCCGCACAAGCGGAGGAACAUGUGGUUUAAUUCGAUGAUACGCGAGGAACCUUACCCGGGCUUAAAUUGCAACAGAAUAUAUUGGAAACAGUAUAGCCGUAAGGCUGUUGUGAAGGUGCUGCAUGGUUGUCGUAAGCUCGUGCCGUGAGGUGUCGGCUUAAGUGCCAUAACGAGCGCAACCCUUAUCUUUAGUUACUAACAGGUUAUGCUGAGGACUCUAGAGAGACUGCCGUCGUAAGAUGUGAGGAAGGUGGGGAUGACGUCAAAUCAGCACGGCCCUUACGUCCGGGGCUACACACGUGUUACAAUGGGGGGUACAGAAGGCGGCUACCUGGUGACAGGAUGCUAAUCCCAAAAACCUCUCUCAGUUCGGAUCGAAGUCUGCAACCCGACUUCGUGAAGCUGGAUUCGCUAGUAAUCGCGCAUCAGCCAUGGCGCGGUGAAUACGUUCCCGGGCCUUGUA